This 206-nucleotide ribosomal RNA is filed under the name uncultured bacterium. Its description in RNAcentral is "partial 16S ribosomal RNA". It matches the Rfam family "Bacterial small subunit ribosomal RNA", at positions 568 to 774 of the family's 1533-position model. The record is from RNAcentral.
CGCGUAGGCGGUCUUUCAAGCCAGAAGUGAAAGGCUACGGCUCAACCGUAGUAAGCUUUUGGAACUGUAAGACUUGAGUGCAGGAGAGGAGAGUAGAAUUCCUAGUGUAGCGGUGAAAUGCGUAGAUAUUAGGAGGAAUACCAGUAGCGAAGGCGGCUCUCUGGACUGUAACUGACGCUGAGGCACGAAAGCAUGGGGAGCAAACA